UACAGAGGUCCCAAGCGUUAUCCGGAUUCACUGGGUUUAAAGGGUGCGUAGGUGGGCAGGUAAGUCAGUGGUGAAAUCUCCGAGCUUAACUCGGAAACUGCCGUUGAUACUAUUUGUCUUGAAUAUUGUGGAGGUAAGCGGAAUAUGUCAUGUAGCGGUGAAAUGCUUAGAUAUGACAUAGAACACCAAUUGCGAAGGCAGCUUACUACACAACGAUUGACGCUGAGGCACGAAAGCGUGGGGAUCAAACAGG
Molecule: ribosomal RNA, 253 nt
Filed under: uncultured bacterium
Lineage: Bacteria
Description: partial 16S ribosomal RNA
Rfam family: Bacterial small subunit ribosomal RNA
Source: RNAcentral